Molecule: transfer RNA, 75 nt
Filed under: Haematomyzus elephantis (elephant louse)
Lineage: Eukaryota; Metazoa; Arthropoda; Insecta; Psocodea; Haematomyzidae
Description: tRNA-Leu
Source: RNAcentral
AGAAGGUUGGCAGAUUAAGUGCGUUGAAUUUAGAAUUCAACUAUGAGGUUAGAUGGUUAUUCGCCUCACCUUCUA